This 497-nucleotide ribosomal RNA is filed under the name uncultured bacterium. Its description in RNAcentral is "partial 16S ribosomal RNA". It matches the Rfam family "Bacterial small subunit ribosomal RNA", at positions 28 to 507 of the family's 1533-position model. The record is from RNAcentral.
GAUGAGCGCUGGCGGCGUGCCUAAUACAUGCAAGUCGAGCGAACGGACGAGAAGCUUGCUUCUCUGAUGUUAGCGGCGGACGGGUGAGUAACACGUGGAUAACCUACCUAUAAGACUGGGAUAACUUCGGGAAGCCGGAGCUAAUACCGGAUAAUAUUUUGAACCGCAUGGUUCAAAAGUGAAAGACGGUCUUGCUGUCACUUAUAGAUGGAUCCGCGCUGCAUUAGCUAGUUGGUAAGGUAACGGCUUACCAAGGCAACGAUGCAUAGCCGACCUGAGAGGGUGAUCGGCCACACUGGAACUGAGACACGGUCCAGACUCCUACGGGAGGCAGCAGUAGGGAAUCUUCCGCAACGGGCGAAAGCCUGACGGAGCAACGCCGCGUGAGUGAUGAAGGUCUUCGGAUCGUAAAACUCUGUUAUUAGGGAAGAACAUAUGUGUAAGUAACUGUGCACAUCUUGACGGUACCUAAUCAGAAAGCCACGGCUAACUACGUG